GGGCCUGUAGUACUAAUGGCAGAACACGUCCCUCGCACGGACGAAGUCCGGGUUCAAUUCCCGGCAGGUCCA
This 72-nucleotide transfer RNA is filed under the name Candidatus Pacearchaeota archaeon. RNAcentral describes it as "tRNA-Ala". It matches the Rfam family "tRNA". From Rfam's summary of the family: Transfer RNA (tRNA) molecules are approximately 80 nucleotides in length. Their secondary structure includes four short double-helical elements and three loops (D, anti-codon, and T loops). Further hydrogen bonds mediate the characteristic L-shaped molecular structure. tRNAs have two regions of fundamental functional importance: the anti-codon, which is responsible for specific mRNA codon recognition, and the 3' end, to which the tRNAs corresponding amino acid is attached (by aminoacyl-tRNA synthetases). tRNAs cope with the degeneracy of the genetic code in two manners: having more than one tRNA (with a specific anti-codon) for a particular amino acid; and 'wobble' base-pairing, i.e. permitting non-standard base-pairing at the 3rd anti-codon position. The record is from RNAcentral. Lineage: Archaea; Nanobdellati.